This 407-nucleotide ribosomal RNA is filed under the name uncultured bacterium. Its description in RNAcentral is "partial 16S ribosomal RNA". It matches the Rfam family "Bacterial small subunit ribosomal RNA", at positions 28 to 526 of the family's 1533-position model. The record is from RNAcentral.
GACGAACGCUGGCGGCGUGCCUAAUACAUGCAAGUCGAACGGAGUGGCGGACGGGUGAGUAAUGUAUCGGGACCUGCCCAAUAGCGGGGGAUAACUACGCGAAAGCGUAGCUAAUACCGCAUACUAUUGGAUGGACCGAUAUCGGAUUAGCUAGUUGGUGGGGUAACGGCUCACCAAGGCGACGAUCCGUAGCUGGUUUGAGAGGAUGACCAGCCACACUGGGACUGAGACACGGCCCAGACUCCGACGGGAGGCAGCAGUGGGGAAUUUUGGACAAUGGGGGAAACCCUGAUCCAGCCAUGCCGCGUGUGUGAUGAAGGCCUUCGGGUUGUAAAGCACUUUUGGUAGGGAAGCGGUACCUGCAGAAUAAGCACCGGCUAACUACGUGCCAGCAGCCGCGGUAAUAC